RNAcentral lists this ribosomal RNA (392 nucleotides) under uncultured bacterium. RNAcentral's name for it is "bacterial SSU rRNA". It matches the Rfam family "Bacterial small subunit ribosomal RNA", at positions 417 to 793 of the family's 1533-position model. The record is from RNAcentral.
UUCGGGUUGUAAAGUACUUUCAGUCGUGAGGAAGGCGGCGUCGUUAAUAGCGGCGUUGUUUGACGUUAGCGACAGAAGAAAGCACCGGCUAACUCCGUGCCAGCAGCCGCGGUAAUACGGAGGGUGCGAGCGUUAAUCGGAAUUACUGGGCGUAAAGCGCAUGCAGGUGGUUUGUUAAGUCAGAUGUGAAAGACCCGGGGCGUCAACCUACGGAAUUGCAUUUGUAAACUAGGCAGACUAGAGUACUGUAGAGGGGGGUAGGAAUUUCAGGUGUAGCGGUGAAAUGCGUAGAGAUCUGAAGGAAUACCGGUGGCGAAGGCGGCCCCCUCGGACAGAUACUGACACUCAGAUGCGAAAGCGUGGGGAGCAAACAGGAUUAGAUACCCUGGUAG